RNAcentral lists this ribosomal RNA (446 nucleotides) under uncultured bacterium. Its description in RNAcentral is "bacterial SSU rRNA". It matches the Rfam family "Bacterial small subunit ribosomal RNA", at positions 330 to 793 of the family's 1533-position model. The record is from RNAcentral.
ACCAGACUCCUACGGGAGGCAGCAGUGGGGGAUAUUGCACAAUGGGGGGAACCCUGAUGCAGCGACGCCGCGUGGGUGAAGAAGCGCCUCGGCGCGUAAAGCCCUGUCAGCAGGGAAGAAAAUGACGGUACCUGAAGAAGAAGCCCCGGCUAACUACGUGCCAGCAGCCGCGGUAAUACGUAGGGGGCAAGCGUUAUCCGGAUUUACUGGGUGUAAAGGGGGCGCAGGCGGCGAUGCAAGCCAGGAGUGAAAGCCCGGGGCCCAACCCCGGGACUGCUCUUGGAACUGCGUGGCUGGAGUGCAGGAGGGGCAGGCGGAAUUCCUGGUGUAGCGGUGAAAUGCGUAGAUAUCAGGAGGAACACCGGUGGCGAAGGCGGCCUGCUGGACUGCAACUGACGUUGAGGCCCGAAAGCGUGGGGAGCAAACAGGAUUAGAUACCCCCGUAC